This 468-nucleotide ribosomal RNA is filed under the name uncultured bacterium. Its description in RNAcentral is "partial 16S ribosomal RNA". It matches the Rfam family "Bacterial small subunit ribosomal RNA", at positions 28 to 507 of the family's 1533-position model. The record is from RNAcentral.
GACGAACGCUGGCGGCGUGCUUAACACAUGCAAGUCGAACGGAAAGGCCCUGCUUUGGUGGGGUGCUCGAGUGGCGAACGGGUGAGUAACACGUGAGUAACCUGCCCUUGACUUUGGGAUGACUUCAGGAAACUGGGGCUAAUACCGGAUAGGAUCUCCUGCUGCAUGGUGGGGGUGGGAAAGUUUCGGCGGUUGGGGAUGGACUCGCGGCGUAUCAGCUUGUUGGUUGGGUAGUGGCUUAGCAAGGCCUUGAGGGGUAGCCGGCCUGCGAGGGUGAGCGGCCACACUGGGACUGAGAUGCGGCCCAGACUCCAACGGGAGGCAGCGGUGGGGUAUAUUGCACAAUGGGAGGAAGCCUGAUGCAGUACAGCCGCGUGGGGGAUGACAGCCUUCGGGUUGUAUACUGCAUCCGCCUGUGACGAAGCGUGAGUGACGGUAAUGGGUAAAGAAGCACCGGCUAACUACGUG